RNAcentral lists this ribosomal RNA (464 nucleotides) under Vreelandella stevensii. RNAcentral's name for it is "partial 16S ribosomal RNA". It matches the Rfam family "Bacterial small subunit ribosomal RNA", at positions 338 to 795 of the family's 1533-position model. The record is from RNAcentral. Lineage: Bacteria; Pseudomonadati; Pseudomonadota; Gammaproteobacteria; Oceanospirillales; Halomonadaceae.
CCUACGGGGCGCAGCAGUGGGGAAUAUUGGACAAUGGGCGAAAGCCUGAUCCAGCCAUGCCGCGUGUGUGAAGAAGGCCUUCGGGUUGUAAAGCACUUUCAGUGGGGAAGAAAGCCUUGGGGCUAAUACCCUCGAGGAAGGACAUCACCCACAGAAGAAGCACCGGCUAACUCCGUGCCAGCAGCCGCGGUAAUACGGAGGGUGCGAGCGUUAAUCGGAAUUACUGGGCGUAAAGCGCGCGUAGGCGGUCUGAUAAGCCGGUUGGGAAAGCCCCGGGCCAACCUGGGAACGGCAUCCGGACCGGUAGGGCGGAAGUGCAGGGGAGGAAGGAAAAAUCCCGGGGGGAGUGGGGAAAGGCGGAGAGAUCGGGAGGAUUACCAGGGGCAAGGGCGCCCUUUGGGACUGACACGGACGCUGGGGUGCGAAAGCGUGGGAAGAAACCAGGAUUAGAUACACGGGUAGUC